RNAcentral lists this transfer RNA (88 nucleotides) under Candidatus Woykebacteria bacterium RIFCSPHIGHO2_01_FULL_39_12. Its description in RNAcentral is "tRNA-Leu". The record is from RNAcentral. Lineage: Bacteria; Candidatus Woykeibacteriota.
GCCCUGGUGCUGGAAUUGGUAGACAGGCUACGUUCAGAGCGUAGUGUUCCUUGUGAACGUGGGAGUUCAAGUCUCCCCCAGGGCACCA